This is a long non-coding RNA of Cygnus olor (mute swan), 352 nucleotides long. RefSeq lists it as uncharacterized. The record is from RefSeq and is a predicted model, not a curated record. Lineage: Eukaryota; Metazoa; Chordata; Aves; Anseriformes; Anatidae. The transcript has 3 exons.
AGAAAAAGGACUCUGGAGUCUCUUGUUGGAGAAAGAUCUGACUGUGCUUUCCCCCUUGUGGUGGGGGAUGAAGCUCUGAUUUGAGUUCGGUUGCCCUGCAAGACACGAAGCUGCGACCAGAUGCUGCUAAUGGGAGCACGCAGAGGAUGCGCCAGAAGCCCACAGAAAACAUAGAACUUGAGGCUGGCUCAGAACCUGGAGGAAUGCUGCAGAACGGGCAAGGACUGCGCAGUUCCUAUGGGAGUGCGGAGGAAAAUGAAGAGCAUGUGCUGUUCUCAUGAAAUUCACAAUUUUUUUAGAGCAACACAGAGUGCAAGCAAUAAGAAAUGGAGAGUUAAAGUGUGAACCUAAG